This 400-nucleotide ribosomal RNA is filed under the name uncultured bacterium. Its description in RNAcentral is "bacterial SSU rRNA". It matches the Rfam family "Bacterial small subunit ribosomal RNA", at positions 355 to 747 of the family's 1533-position model. The record is from RNAcentral.
UGGGGAAUAUUGGACAAUGGGCGCAAGCCUGAUCCAGCCAUGCCGCGUGUGUGAAGAAGGCCUUCGGGUUGUAAAGCACUUUUGUCCGGAAAGAAAAGCGCUCGAUUAAUACUCGGGUGUUAUGACGGUACCGGAAGAAUAAGCACCGGCUAACUUCGUGCCAGCAGCCGCGGUAAUACGAAGGGUGCAAGCGUUACUCGGAAUUACUGGGCGUAAAGCGUGCGUAGGUGGUUUGUUAAGUCUGAUGUGAAAGCCCUGGGCUCAACCUGGGAACUGCAUUGGAUACUGGCUUACUAGAGUGCGGUAGAGGGGUGUGGAAUUCCCGGUGUAGCAGUGAAAUGCGUAGAUAUCGGGAGGAACAUCUGUGGCGAAGGCGACACCCUGGACCAGCACUGACACU